This 148-nucleotide non-coding RNA is filed under the name Homo sapiens (human). Lineage: Eukaryota; Metazoa; Chordata; Mammalia; Primates; Hominidae. The record is from Rfam by way of RNAcentral.
GCCAGGCAUGGUGGCGGGUGCCUGUAGUCCCAGCUACUUGGGAGGCUGAGGCAGGAGAAUGGCUUGAGCCCAGGAGGCAGAGCUUGCAGUGAGCUGAGAUUGUGCCACUGCACUCCAGCCUGGGCGACAGAGCAAGACUCUGUCUCAA